CCGCCGGGCGGGUGCUAUACAUGCAGUCGAACGAACUCUGGUAUUGAUUGGUGCUUGCAUCAUGAUUUACAUUUGAGUGAGUGGCGAACUGGUGAGUAACACGUGGGAAACCUGCCCAGAAGCGGGGGAUAACACCUGGAAACAGAUGCUAAUACCGCAUAACAACUUGGACCGCAUGGUCCGAGUUUGAAAGAUGGCUUCGGCUAUCACUUUUGGAUGGUCCCGCGGCGUAUUAGCUAGAUGGUGGGGUAACGGCUCACCAUGGCAAUGAUACGUAGCCGACCUGAGAGGGUAAUCGGCCACAUUGGGACUGAGACACGGCCCAAACUCCUACGGGAGGCAGCAGUAGGGAAUCUUCCACAAUGGACGAAAGUCUGAUGGAGCAACGCCGCGUGAGUGAAGAAGGGUUUCGGCUCGUAAAACUCUGUUGUUAAAGAAGAACAUAUCUGAGAGUAACUGUUCAGGUAUUGACGGUAUUUAACCAGAAAGCCACGGCUAACUACGUGCCAGCAGCCGCGGUAAUACGUAGGUGGCAAGCGUUGUCCGGAUUUAUUGGGCGUAAAGCGAGCGCAGGCGGUUUUUUAAGUCUGAUGUGAAAGCCUUCGGCUCAACCGAAGAAGUGCAUCGGAAACUGGGAAACUUGAGUGCAGAAGAGGACAGUGGAACUCCAUGUGUAGCGGUGAAAUGCGUAGAUAUAUGGAAGAACACCAGUGGCGAAGGCGGCUGUCUGGUCUGUAACUGACGCUGAGGCUCGAAAGUAUGGGUAGCAAACAGGAUUAGAUACCCUGGUAGUCCAUACCGUAAACGAUGAAUGCUAAGUGUUGGAGGGUUUCCGCCCUUCAGUGCUGCAGCUAACGCAUUAAGCAUUCCGCCUGGGGAGUACGGCCGCAAGGCUGAAACUCAAAGGAAUUGACGGGGGCCCGCACAAGCGGUGGAGCAUGUGGUUUAAUUCGAAGCUACGCGAAGAACCUUACCAGGUCUUGACAUACUAUGCAAAUCUAAGAGAUUAGACGUUCCCUUCGGGACAUGGAUACAGGUGGUGCAUGAUGUCGUCAGCUCGUGUCGUGAGAUGUUGGGUUAGUCCCGCAACGAGCGCAACCCUUAUUAUCAGUUGCCAGCAUUAAGUUGGGG
Molecule: ribosomal RNA, 1131 nt
Filed under: Lactiplantibacillus plantarum
Lineage: Bacteria; Bacillati; Bacillota; Bacilli; Lactobacillales; Lactobacillaceae
Description: bacterial SSU rRNA
Rfam family: Bacterial small subunit ribosomal RNA
Source: RNAcentral